UUUGAUGUGUCAGAUAAAAAGGAUCUUUGUUUCAAACUCACUGGGAAACUGAGCCGGUUCUACUACCGGACUCUGGAACACAGACGUUAAAAGCCGACACAUGUAAACAUGAUGAAGAAAAGAAAUGAGAGUUAAAGAAGAGUCAGAGAGCCGUUUACCUGAAGGAGCAGCUGAGGCUCAGAUCCAGUCUGACACAAGAAAACGCUGACCAAGCUUUUUAUAUCCGUCAUUAAUCCAGAUGAGAUCAAUCCAGAACUAGACAAUCUGUUCCUAAAAUAAACCAAUGAUGUUACAAGUUGCUGCUGAAAUAUGUUACUGUUUGUUUGGUCCUGUCUUUGCACAAUGUAGCAGUUUUUAACGACAUGCAGCUCAUGUGAAUGUCCAGCUGCUGUUUAUAAAGAAGCAGAUCUUUGUCUACAAAGUCACUAAAUAAAAUAUAAAAUGGAAAAGAAACAGAA
Molecule: long non-coding RNA, 458 nt
Organism: Poecilia latipinna (sailfin molly)
Lineage: Eukaryota; Metazoa; Chordata; Actinopteri; Cyprinodontiformes; Poeciliidae
Exons: 2
Source: RefSeq, a predicted model, not a curated record